AGUGAACGCUGGCGGUAGGCCUAACACAUGCAAGUCGAACGGCAGCACAGUAAGAGCUUGCUCUUACGGGUGGCGAGUGGCGGACGGGUGAGGAAUACAUCGGAAUCUACUUUUUCGUGGGGGAUAACGGAGGGAAACUUACGCUAAUACCGCAUACGACCUACGGGUGAAAGAAGGGGAUCUUCGGACCUUGCGCGAAUGAAUGAGCCGAUGUUGGAUUAGCUAGUUGGCGGGGUAAAGGCCCACCAAGGCGACGACCCGUAGCUGGUCUGUGAGGAUGAUCAGACACACUGGAACGGGGACACGGUCCAGACUCCUACGGGAGGCAGCAGUGGGGAAUAUUGGACAAUGGGCGCAAGCCUGAUCCAGCCAUACCGCGUGGGUGAAGAAGGCCUUCGGGUUGUAAAGCUCUUUUGUUGGGAAAGAAAAGCAGCAGGUUAAUACCCCGCUGUUCUGACGGUACCCAAAGAAUAAGCACCGGCUAACUUCGUG
This 492-nucleotide ribosomal RNA is filed under the name uncultured bacterium. RNAcentral describes it as "partial 16S ribosomal RNA". It matches the Rfam family "Bacterial small subunit ribosomal RNA", at positions 29 to 507 of the family's 1533-position model. The record is from RNAcentral.